RNA transcript from Carlito syrichta (Philippine tarsier), 2514 nucleotides. It is a transcript of the gene named kelch repeat and BTB domain-containing protein 6-like, with no coding region annotated. The transcript has a single exon. The record is from RefSeq and is a predicted model, not a curated record. Lineage: Eukaryota; Metazoa; Chordata; Mammalia; Primates; Tarsiidae.
GGCGGGAGGCGGCCCAAGAGGCUCUCCAAGCCCUCGGUGUCGGCCUUCUUCGCGGGCCCGGAGGAGCUGAAGGACGCGGCCCACUCUGCGGCGCUGCUGGCCCAGCUCAAGUCCUUCUACGACGCGCGGCUGCUGUGUGAUGUGACCAUCGAGGUGGUGACGCCCGGCAGCGGGCCUGGCACCGGCCGCCUCUUCUCGUGCAACCGCAACGUGCUGGCCGCCGCGUGCCCCUACUUCAAGAGCAUGUUCACGGGCGGCAUGUACGAGAGCCAGCAGGCCAGCGUGACCAUGCACGACGUGGACGCCGAGUCCUUCGAGGUGCUGGUCGACUACUGCUACACGGGCCGCGUGUCCCUGAGCGAGGCCAACGUGCAGCGCCUGUACGCGGCCUCCGACAUGCUGCAGCUGGAGUAUGUGCGGGAAGCCUGUGCCUCGUUCUUAGCCCGCCGCCUUGACCUGGCCAACUGCACCGCCAUCCUCAAGUUUGCCGACGCCUUUGACCAUCACAAGCUGCGGUCUCAGGCCCAGUCCUUUAUUGCGCACAACUUCAAGCCGAAUGGGCUCAGUUCGGAAGGAGACUCUAGAGGAUCUGACUCUGGUCCAGUGGCUGCGCCUGGAUAGUCUGGACGUAGAUAGGGAGUGGACUGUAUGCCACGUGGCUGUGUAGUGGCUGGAGGCUGCGCCCAAGAGCGGGGUCCCAGUGCUACGGAAGUCUUCAAGUGUGUGCGCUGGAUGCACUUCACGGAAAUAGAUCAAGACCUCUUGCAAGGGCUGCUGCUGACCAAGCCCAUUGUGAAGCAGUACUGCCUGGACAUCAUUGAAGGGGCCCUGCAGAUGCGCUAUGGCGACAUGCUGUACAAGUCUCUGGAGCCAAAGCCAAACAGCAGCACUAGCACCAGCAACUCCGUUGUAUCUGCAGCAGAAAACCCCAGAGACUGGGUAUGUGUGCCAAGGAGAUCGUAGUCAUCUUUGGACAUCCCAGGGAUCCCUUUCUCUGCUAUGAUCCAUACUCAGGGGAUAUUUACACAGUGCCAGUCGCCUUUGACCAGCUUGGCACACACUAAGACUAACCUCCCCGGCCGUUUGUGUCUCUGCCGACCAUGACGUCUAUCUAGCCGCCCAGCGCAGCAAAGACCUCUGGGUGUAUAAACCAGCCCAGGAUAGUUGACAGCAGCUUGCAGACCGCUUGCUGUGUCGUGAGGGCAUGAAUGCGGCAUACCUCAAUGGCUACAUUUAUAUUUUGGGUGGACGAGACCCUAUUACUGGAGUUAAAUUGAAAGAAGUGGAAUGCUACAGUGUUUAGAGAAACAGUGGUCUCCAGUAUCCCAUUCUUUUAUAUCCUUUGACCUAAUGGUAAUUUGAGACUACCUCUAUGUCUUCAGUAGUAAGCGCAUGUUUUGUUAUGAUCCUAGGUAUAAUAGGUGGCUGAAGUGUGUUUCUCUGAAGCAGAGCGACUUUCUGGAAGCAUGUGUCUUCAAUGAUGAGAUCUGCUGUAUCUGUGUCAUCCCAGUCAUGAAGGCCCACAAUCCAGUCAGGCCAGAGUGGAGGCAGAUUAAUAAUAUUCCUUUGGUGUCAGAGACCAGCAGCUACCAGAUUAUCCAGUAUAGCCAAAAAUUUUGUUGCCUACACCUCUCACACCACACAAUGGAAAAGAAAUGGAAUGAUCAUGUAUGAAUAUGAUAUUAGGGGAUAUCAGUGGAUUAAUAUGGGUGCCACAUUAGGCCUUUUGCAGUUUUGACUCUUAUUUUUUUGCCUCUCAUGUUUAUCCUUCCUGCCUUGAACCUGGUCAGUUUUCUCACUAAAGAAGAUUAUAUACCAAGUGAAUCUAGUACUGAAUGGGACAUUGGUGGAUUCAGUGAGCUAGACUCUUGAGUCAGUAGGUUCAAGUUCUUUUUCUGAUGAUUUUUGGCUGCGAGUAGCACAGUGAAAUGUACAGGACCAACAGGAUUUGUUGUGACAAAACUGAAACACUAAGUUGUUUUUACUGUUCUGGAAAAUAUCUUAAGUAUCCUUUCUGUUCUCAAAGCGGGGGGAAGUUGAUUAACUGCAGUUUUGGUUUAGAAAAGGUAAUGUUUGAUAUGCUGACGUCAUUUGAUUUUUAUAAAAUUUUAACAUUCAUGUCAAUCUUUUAAUAAUUUGCUGUGCUAAAAAUCUAGUAGUCUUCUGAUUACUUAAUGUUUAUGUUUCAUUACAUUAACCUAGUCUUAUAAAUUUUCUGUUUCCUGCCACAAGCACUGUAACUUUUGAAUUUUAAUUUUUGUAAUAGAAAAGUGAUUGGAUAGAAAUUGCUAGAUAAUGUUUUAGAGCAUAUAUUUUCGUUCAGAGCAAUGUAGUAGAUCUUCAAAACGUUAAACUGGAAUUUUACAAAAUAUGUUCUAAUUUAAAACUGGUUUACUGAGUUUAGUGUUCUUCUGAGAAGAAAAAAGUGAAUGUAUAUAUUAAAGUGACUGGUGAUUUCAUUUAUAAUAAUAUACAGAAUGGCUAUAAGCUUACUGAUGCAAAAAAAAACAAACA